RNAcentral lists this long non-coding RNA (282 nucleotides) under Elaeis guineensis (African oil palm). RNAcentral describes it as "long non-coding RNA (EGUI_LNC047947)". The record is from RNAcentral. Lineage: Eukaryota; Viridiplantae; Streptophyta; Magnoliopsida; Arecales; Arecaceae.
CCAGAGUCCAAGCCUCUUUGGACUCUUUGAUAUGGGCAUGGAUAAGGCUUGGGGAUGCCCAAACUUGUACCCCCUUUAGGCUCGAUCCAAUCAGGGUUCUAGAUAAAUAGGUAAGCCCAAUUAAAUAAGAUUUAUGUUGGGUUUCGGAGAGUGCAACAGAAGAUGAAUUUCAAAAAUUUUUCUUGAAACUCAAGUCUCCCAAAAAUCCAAAACCUAGGACCCUCUUAACCAUAUGGUAAAUAAUAAAUAAUAGGUAUAAACUCAUGCCUAUUAAGCCGGUGA